RNAcentral lists this unclassified non-coding RNA (213 nucleotides) under Funneliformis mosseae. RNAcentral describes it as "partial contains 5.8S ribosomal RNA and internal transcribed spacer 2". The stretch from base 1 to 65 matches the Rfam family "5.8S ribosomal RNA", at positions 84 to 154 of the family's 154-position model. Lineage: Eukaryota; Fungi; Glomeromycota; Glomeromycetes; Glomerales; Glomeraceae. The record is from RNAcentral.
GUGAAUCAUCAAAUUUUUGAACGCAAAUUGCACUCUCCUCGGAGAGUAUGACUGUUUGAGGGUCGUUAGAAUAAAAAAUCGAGGCGCCGCUUUUUUUUUGAGGGUGAUCGCGUCGGAAUUGAGCCGUUUUUAAAAUGUUAAUUUAUGUCAAAGUGGCUUAAAAUUUAUUCAUCCGGUACGAUUAAAAAGUAUUUAAGAUCAAUUCUGUUCAAG